GCAGUGGGUACGGGCAGACUAGAGUGCGGUAGGGGAGAUUGGAAUUCCUGGUGUAGCGGUGGAAUGCGCAGAUAUCAGGAGGAACACCGAUGGCGAAGGCAGAUCUCUGGGCCGUAACUGACGCUGAGGAGCGAAAGGGUGGGGAGCAAACAGGCUUAGAUACCCUGGUAGUCCACCCCGUAAACGUUGGGAACUAGUUGUGGGGACCAUUCCACGGUUUCCGUGACGCAGCUAACGCAUUAAGUUCCCCGCCUGGGGAGUACGGCCGCAAGGCUAAAACUCAAAGGAAUUGACGGGGACCCGCACAAGCGGCGGAGCAUGCGGAUUAAUUCGAUGCAACGCGAAGAACCUUACCAAGGCUUGACAUAUACGAGAACGGGCCAGAAAUGGUCAACUCUUUGGACACUCGUAAACAGGUGGUGCAUGGUUGUCGUCAGCUCGUGUCGUGAGAUGUUGGGUUAAGUCCCGCAACGAGCGCAACCCUCGUUCUAUGUUGCCAGCACGUAAUGGUGGGAACUCAUGGGAUACUGCCGGGGUCAACUCGGAGGAAGGUGGGGAUGACGUCAAAUCAUCAUGCCCCUUAUGUCUUGGGCUUCACGCAUGCUACAAUGGCCGGUACAAAGGGCUGCAAUACCGUAAGGUGGAGCGAAUCCCAAAAAGCCGGUCCCAGUUCGGAUUGAGGUCUGCAACUCGACCUCAUGAAGUCGGAGUCGCUAGUAAUCGCAGAUCAGCAACGCUGCGGUGAAUACGUUCCCGGGUCUUGUACACACCGCCCGUCAAGUCAUGAAAGUCGGUAACACCUGAAGCCGGUGGCCCAACCCCUGUGGAGGGAGCCUCGAAGUGUCGAAGCUAA
RNAcentral lists this ribosomal RNA (853 nucleotides) under Microbacterium sp. W1D-4. RNAcentral's name for it is "bacterial SSU rRNA". It matches the Rfam family "Bacterial small subunit ribosomal RNA", at positions 623 to 1474 of the family's 1533-position model. Lineage: Bacteria; Bacillati; Actinomycetota; Actinomycetes; Micrococcales; Microbacteriaceae. The record is from RNAcentral.